This is a long non-coding RNA of Pipistrellus kuhlii (Kuhl's pipistrelle), 1597 nucleotides long. RefSeq lists it as uncharacterized. The transcript is spliced from 2 exons. The record is from RefSeq and is a predicted model, not a curated record. NCBI's taxonomy places the organism in Eukaryota, Metazoa, Chordata, Mammalia, Chiroptera, Vespertilionidae.
GGGGCGGGGCGCGGCGCAUGCGUAGGCGGCGGCCCGCGCGGGAGGCGGAAGCGGGCCGCGGUUUCCGGCUGCGGGCGGAGGCGCCAUGGAGGGGCGCGCGGCGGCGGGGGACGGCCGGAACGGGCCCCGCGAGCGGCGAGGGCCGGGCGCCGCGGCGGCGCCGCAGCAGAACCACCAGGCCCGGCCCGCGGCGGCGGCGGGGCGGCUUCCCGCGCACUCGUACUGGCUGGACCUCUGGCUGUUCGUGCUGGUGGACCUGGCGCUGCUGCUGGUCGUGUACCUGUGGCCGUGAUGGAUUGCCUGGUAUCGACAUCAAGAAGGUGGCUCCUGGACUGAACUCUGAACAUGACUUACAACUUCUUGAACAAAGAGGAUUGUGCAACAGAAGAAUUUCAAACUCUUAAGGGACCUUCAUUCCUUUUACACAUUCCUUACUCUUUGGGGGACUAUAAUAGAUGGGUAGUGACCUCACCCAUUCAUAACUAAGUCCUGAAAACUAGAUUCUUUGAUUCAUGUUUAAUAACUUUCUUCAAAUAGCUGGUGGCUUUUCGGGAGCUGAAUUAAAACAGUUGUACAGAAAGGCUUAGUGUAUUCAUUAAGAACUACAGCAAUGACUCCCUUAACAUUUUAAGGGUUGACCAGGGUUUACAGUAUGAUGCAAUAUUAUAUAUGGUGAAUUAUUAAGGUGAAGUAUCUAAAAUUCCUAGAAAGCAAGGGGAGGAUUUUAGAAAAGAAUUAAAAUCUAUACAGAAAAUGCAGGUCUACAGAUAACUGGCUGUAAGUGUUGUAGAUUGAGUGGGCCUCUCUCUGCCUGGCUGCCAGGCCGCCAUGACCCUGGAGAAGGUAGGUAAUAGCCAGUAGUGGAAAGCUAAUGGGCAGCUCUUCCUGCCCAGUGCUCCCCCUCUUCCUUUUAAGCUCUUGAACUCCUUAAAAUAGGACAGUGUGUUUCAGUCCUUUUAUUUAUUAUUGGGGUUACAUUAAGAAUACUUGUGGCCAAAACACCUUUGUUUUUAUAAUUACUGUAACUUCUGCAAAAUCAGCAUAUUUAUUCAUUCAACAAACAUUUGAGCACUUGUAUGGAUCGGGUACAGCAGUGAACAAAACAAAAAUCACUGCCUCCCUGGAACUCAGCACCUUGGUUUUUAUCUAAAUAAACAAGAAUUUAUGUUCUCGGAGUGCACAGCUGGCACUGGAUGAGAGGGCCGCACUCGCAGGGCAGCUACAACAAACCUUUCAGAUGUGACAGGAUACUCCCGUAUAGAGCCGGGAACAGCCUCUUGUUGAAAUUAGGGAUGUUUGAUGUAUGUGAGUUGCCUACAUUUUGGGGGAUAUGCCCUCUUUCAAAUCAAGGCAUAGAUCUGGUGAACUCUGCGUCCUCUACCGUUCAGGAUGGCACUUGGGGUACAGUGGGAUCUGUCACGUACAGGUUAACAACAGUGCCUCCAGGCACCGUUGAUAUGUCUGAAGAAAACCUCUCGGGCAAAGAUUGUAGCAUCAGAGAAACAAACGUGAAAUUUCCUUGCGUAUCCAAACAUUGUAUGAAUUGUUUCUGUGCUGCUGGCUGGUAAUUUUGUCUAAUAAAGUUUAUUGUGCAGCU